GGGUCAGUAGGUUGGUCGUGCCACCGGUACGUACUGGUCUCACUGAUUCCUCCUUCCUGAAGAACCGUAAUGCCAUUAAUUUGGUGUUGCGGGGAAACAGGACUGUUACUUUGAAAAAAUUAGAGUGUUUAAAGCAAGCUAACGCUUGAAUACAUUAGCAUGGAAUAAUGAAAUAGAACGAUCGAUCCUAUUUUGUUGGUUUCUAGGAUUGACGUA
RNAcentral lists this ribosomal RNA (216 nucleotides) under Glomeromycotina sp. RNAcentral describes it as "partial small subunit ribosomal RNA". The stretch from base 40 to 216 matches the Rfam family "Eukaryotic small subunit ribosomal RNA", at positions 686 to 864 of the family's 1831-position model. The record is from RNAcentral. Lineage: Eukaryota; Fungi; Glomeromycota.